ACUCAAAGGAAUUGACGGGGGCCCGCACAAGCAGUGGAGUAUGUGGUUUAAUUCGAAGCAACGCGAAGAACCUUACCAGGUCUUGACAUCCAACUAACGAAGCAGAGAUGCAUCAGGUGCCCUUCGGGGAAAGUUGAGACAGGUGGUGCAUGGUUGUCGUCAGCUCGUGUCGUGAGAUGUUGGGUUAAGUCCCGCAACGAGCGCAACCCUUGUUUUUAGUUGCUACAUUUAGUUGAGCACUCUAGAGAGACUGCCGUUGACAAAACGGAGGAAGGUGGGGACGACGUCAAAUCAUCAUGCCCCUUAUGACCUGGGCUACACACGUACUACAAUGGCCGUCAACAGAGGGAAGCAAUUCCGCGAGGAGGAGCAAACCCCUAAAAACGGUCUCAGUUCGGAUCGCAGGCUGCAACCCGCCUGCGUGAAGUUGGAAUUGCUAGUAAUCGCGGAUCAGCAUGCCGCGGUGAAUACGUUCCCGGGCCUUGUACACACCGCCCGU
This 499-nucleotide ribosomal RNA is filed under the name uncultured bacterium. Its description in RNAcentral is "bacterial SSU rRNA". It matches the Rfam family "Bacterial small subunit ribosomal RNA", at positions 899 to 1397 of the family's 1533-position model. The record is from RNAcentral.